UGCGAUGUAGCUCAACGGAUAGAUCGCCCUAGGUUCAACGGUGCACCGGCCGGGAGGUUGGAGGUUCGAGUCCUCCCGUCGCAGCCA
RNAcentral lists this transfer RNA (87 nucleotides) under bacterium AH-315-P15. RNAcentral describes it as "tRNA-OTHER". It matches the Rfam family "tRNA". Rfam says of the family: Transfer RNA (tRNA) molecules are approximately 80 nucleotides in length. The record is from RNAcentral.